GGUUCGGUAGCUCAACUGGAUAGAGCAUCAGCCUUCUAAGCUGAGGGUUCUGGGUUCGAGUCCCAGCCGAAUCA
Molecule: transfer RNA, 74 nt
Filed under: Bacteroidales bacterium
Lineage: Bacteria; Pseudomonadati; Bacteroidota; Bacteroidia; Bacteroidales
Also listed under: 4 other names
Description: tRNA-Arg
Rfam family: tRNA
About the family: Transfer RNA (tRNA) molecules are approximately 80 nucleotides in length. Their secondary structure includes four short double-helical elements and three loops (D, anti-codon, and T loops). Further hydrogen bonds mediate the characteristic L-shaped molecular structure. tRNAs have two regions of fundamental functional importance: the anti-codon, which is responsible for specific mRNA codon recognition, and the 3' end, to which the tRNAs corresponding amino acid is attached (by aminoacyl-tRNA synthetases). tRNAs cope with the degeneracy of the genetic code in two manners: having more than one tRNA (with a specific anti-codon) for a particular amino acid; and 'wobble' base-pairing, i.e. permitting non-standard base-pairing at the 3rd anti-codon position.
Source: RNAcentral